RNAcentral lists this long non-coding RNA (1094 nucleotides) under Medicago truncatula (barrel medic). RNAcentral describes it as "long non-coding RNA (MTRU_LNC006702)". Lineage: Eukaryota; Viridiplantae; Streptophyta; Magnoliopsida; Fabales; Fabaceae. The record is from RNAcentral.
CCAAACCCAAAGUAAAUUAUAGAUAUGAUCCCGUUCCAGAGAUAGAGAGACCUGAACCAGAAACAUAUUACAAACACCUCACCAAACCAAACUACGAAGUUCCCAAACCUGAAAUAGAUUAUGGGUAUAGUCCAACUCCAAAGGUUGAGAAGCCUAAGUCCGAAGAAGUUUACACAUCAAACCCCACAAAACCGGACUAUGAAGUUCCCAAAACCAAAAUAGAUUAUGGCUAUGCACCGGCUCCCAAGAUUGAGAAACCCAAGUCCGAAGCUGUUUACACACCAAACCCCACAAAACCGGACUAUGGAGUUCCCAAACCUAAAACAACCUAUGAAUAUGCCCCUGCCCCCAAGAUUGAGAAACCAAAGUCCGAAGCAAUUUACACACCAAACCCAACAAAACCAAACUAUGAAGUUCCCAAACCCAAAACAAAUUAUGAGUAUGCCCCAGCUCCCAAGAUUGAGAAACCAAAGUCUGAAGUAGUUCACACACCAAACCCCACAAAACCUGACUAUGAAGUUCCCAAAUCCAAAACUGAUUAUGGGUAUGCCCCGACCCCCAAAAUCGAGAAAUCCAAGUCUGAAGCAGUCUACACACCAAACCCCACAAAAUCAGACUAUGAAGUUCCCAAAACCAAAACAGAUUAUGAGUAUGCCCCAGCCCCCAAGAUUGAGAAACCAAAGUCUGAAGUAGUUUACACACGAAACCCCACAAAACCUGACUAUGAAGUUCCCAAAUCCAAAACUGAUUAUGGGUAUGCCCCGACCCCCAAAAUCGAGAAAUCCAAGUCUGAAGCAGUCUACACACCAAACCCCACAAAAUCAGACUAUGAAGUUCCCAAAACCAAAAUAGAUUAUGAGUAUGCCCCAGCCCCCAAGAUCGAGAAACCAAAGUCUGAAGCAGUUUACACACCAAAAUCCACAAAACCAGACUAUGAAGUUCCCAAAACAAAUUAUAACUAUGCCCCAGCACCAAAAAUUGAGAAACCCAGACUUGAUACAAAUUAUAAACUACUCCCCACAAAACCAGAUUAUGAAGUUCCAAAACCAAAAGAAAACUACGAAGUGCAACUGCCCACAAUCAUUAGUGUUCAA